RNAcentral lists this ribosomal RNA (424 nucleotides) under uncultured prokaryote. RNAcentral describes it as "bacterial SSU rRNA". It matches the Rfam family "Bacterial small subunit ribosomal RNA", at positions 355 to 796 of the family's 1533-position model. The record is from RNAcentral.
UGGGGAAUCUUGGACAAUGGGCGAAAGCCUGAUCCAGCGACGCCGCGUGGGUGAUGAAGGCCUUAGGGUUGUAAAGCCCUUUCACCGGGGAGGAUGAUGACGUUACCCGGAGAAGAAGCACCGGCUAACUCCGUGCCAGCAGCCGCGGUAAGACGGAGGGUGCUAGCGUUGUUCGGAAUUACUGGGCGUAAAGGGCGCGUAGGCGGCCUGUUAAGUUGGAUGUGAAAGCCCGGGGCUCAACCUCGGAAUGGCAUCCGAUACUGGCGGGCUCGAGACCGGGAGAGGAGGGUGGAAUACCCAGUGUAGAGGUGAAAUUCGUAGAUAUUGGGUGGAACACCGGUGGCGAAAGCGGCUCUCUGGCCCGGUUCUGACGCUGAGGCGCGAAAGCGUGGGGAGCAAACAGGAUUAGAUACCCGCGUAGUCC